Molecule: long non-coding RNA, 8258 nt
Organism: Columba livia (rock pigeon)
Lineage: Eukaryota; Metazoa; Chordata; Aves; Columbiformes; Columbidae
Exons: 6
Source: RefSeq, a predicted model, not a curated record
ACAACUGCUUCAUUCCAAAGGGGUUACAAAAGCAGCUGCUGACGCCUGGCCGUGGUGAAGGUGCGGACUGGCGGGUGCCAGCUCAGGACGUAGGCCAGUCUGAGAGGUCCUGGUGAGCACCACCGUGGAUGUGAUACACACAGGUAAGGGAGGUGACUGCAGCCGACACAGAAGAAUGUUCUGAGAUUUAAUUACUUACAUGAGUAGCAAGGAAGAAGAAAAGAAAUAGUUAUGGUCCAGAGGGAGCAACGUGUAACACCUGAAGCAAUCACUGUAAGUACUGAAUGCCUGAACUUGAGAACUGGUUGAUGCGGUUUGUCACUAGGGUUGUGUGUGAAGAUCAGGUAACAUCAGAGGCUUGUGGCUCUUAUGGUUUCCAAGGAAUAUGAUUUAAGGAAAAGAGAAAAAGACCAACUAAAGCAGCUCUGAACAGCAACUAAAUCCAUUUGAGGCGAUUCCCAGAACAAGUUUUGACAGCCUGAAUAUCCCGGAAACUGCCAAGAGGAGGAAGGACCUUUGAAUCACAAUGAAGUUCUUGUUCUCCUGGGAUUCAAGAGAACCCAUUUCCUCUGACUGACAGCACAAAAAGGUCACUGGGUUUUUUCUUUUGGUGAUUAAUGUGACCUGGACAACCCUGAAGAGCAAAGCAGGAGGUGUACGCAGUUCUUACAAGCUGAGGGAAUGGCAGGUACUUGCUUUGCUGCUCUCCAGAAUUUCAAAGUGCCUGAAGCCCAGGAACAGGAGAACCAUAUGGCACUUGUCCCAGCACAGACACAACAAAACCUGCCCAUGAAAGGAGCAGGGCAAGGACAGAGCAGAGGAACAGCUCUUGCCAGGGGACUACCUUACCAGCUCUGCCAAAACAGGCAGAAAGAUGAUAAUGGUGGCCGUGUUGCUGGCAAACUCCGUGAACAAGGCGAUGACAAUUGUGAUGAGGAUGACAGCCACAGGCGGCGGUACUCCCUCCAAGGGGUGCAGGCGGCCUCCUAUCCAGACAGACAAACCAGACUCCUGCAGAAAGGGAAAACAAACACGCUGGAGAGCAGAGCUCUGGCCUCCCUGAACAUAAAUGGAUCCCUCCUAGAACUGCAAGUUACACACGACCUUCACUGACCCACACAAGCACCGGUGGGAAGUGUCCUCAGGGUGUGUAACAACCAGCAGUUUGAAAGGAGCUGCAAGAUGUCUUAACCUCCUUAGUUAUCUGCUCCAUAUCAUCAUGACUUGGAGCUGCAAAACACUACCUUCAGGAGCUGUGACCCUGCAGAUGCAAAUCUCCCAGAGCCAAACAAGAAACCAAGUGACACCCUGAUAAGAUCCAGCUCCGUCGGACAGGAUGACUGCAGCGUGGUGUCUGCAGCAGGUCUCACCUCACAGCCCUUGGCCAUGGCAAAGCCUCCUCCGAGCAGCAAGAUGAUGUUCCAGGGCACCGUCUCUUGGGCCUUCCUCCAAGUCAGCAAGGGCUGCAUCUCCGUGUUUGGUGCUAAACGAAGAAAACAACCCUCACGUCAAACACCCAUCCAAAGAGGACCACGUCAGUCAUCAUCUGAUACAACGAGCUCAUGGACCUGACACCAGGGCUGGAGCUUACUAAACAUGAGUUGCUCAUAAAAUAUACAUAUGGAAGCUCUUAAGGCAGACAAUCAAGAGACCAUUUAAGUUAACAUCAAAUCUUAAAAAAAAAAAAAAAUAAAUAAAUUCUAGAACUUCAAGAUUUCUUUGAGGCUUUCUUGAGGGAACAUUUAAUAUCAGGUUAAUUUUUUCUCUGUAACAGACAUAAACAUUAUCUUCAACAGAUGGUAGUCUGUGGAAGGAGGACAUUUUCUAACAUUUCAAUUAUGAAGAUAUUAUUAAUUCUCCACUUGCUGUUCAAUAGCCAGCAAGUUUUAUGGCAAAGAGCUCAUCUUCCCUAAAGGCCACCUCUCAAUUCAUGGUGAAGUGAGCCCUGUCACAUGAAGGACGCACCAAUGGGACUGCAAUUUUCUGCUGAACAAGGGCACACCUCUUUUACCCAGAGGAGCUGAUUCAACAUCUUCCUGCACAUGAACAACACGACAAGUGUGCAUGAAUCAGAGCAACAGCAGUAACUGGUAUUUUGUUCCCACAGACCCUGGGCAGUGCUGCACCAUCCAUGAAGGGAUCGUCAGCUGCAUCUCCACAUUAACACCAAGUGGCUUAUGAAUUAAAAUUUUUAUCUCAUCGCUACUUGAAAAGAGAAACUCAAGACCACAAAAGAAGACUCCCGGUACCAGAACCUGCUGGUGAGUUUGGGCUUUAGGAGUUUAAAUUCUGAGUCAUUCUUAGGGACUGAGGAAGGGCCAUUAUUACUGAAUAUGGACAACUCGCCCAGCCCUGCCCUCUGGGAGGUUCCUGCUCCCACCUGAGGGACAGGAGCUGUUUGGGAGUCAGCAACCAAACCUCUGCAACACUGAUUUCAGUUUUCUUCAGCCCACCCAAGGGUUAUCUCUGACAGCUGCGUGAGCGCCUGAGUCACCCCUGCAGCCCGCAGCAGGCGGCGACUGCUGAACCUCUCCUGGCACUUCAGGAACAGACACUCUGCAACCGCGCCGCCGAACCACGGUGCUGCGGCCAGCCGGCGGGGCGGGCGCGCACGGCCCAAGGAGGGGCAUGUUGUCUCCUGCUUGGUGCCGGCCCUGCCAGCGCGCAGGUGAGGGCAGAGUCCCGCCCCGAGCGGUCCCCUACUCACCUUUCAGGUCAAACCACCACCUGAAGGAAGGUUUUUGCGAAGGGAAGAAGAACAAAAUAAUCACAAUGGUGAUUCCAGUAACCGCAUCUGAGAUAAACCUGUCCAAAAACAGCAGAAACACUGGUAAGAAAAAGCCUGUAAAACAACAAAGUUCAUGAGAACAGGGAUUUACAAAAGAAGAUUACAAGUUUCCAUCAGGUUUGAACAAGGUUCAUUGUUCACAGUUCUGUUCUUUUUAAUUCCCUGUCGAGCUGCAUUUCUAAGAUGGGCUUUGAAACCCCUAGAAAACUGCUCUGCAAACGUAAACACCGAGAUCUAAUCCCCACCGCACUGAUGCUCUGGCUGUUCUGCUCGUGGAAUUGUGGUCAGUCCAUGACGGGUUGCGAGGACAAAUUUCCCCAGCUCAUUGCAAGGAAGAAGGGAUGCAGAGCCCAGACCUCUUCGCAAAAUGAUCAGACUGUACGGUGAAAGGCAAGCUCCAUACAGUAAAGAGCUUAAGCAUGUUUUUGAUUGUAAGGAACUAUUAACUGAUGAGGAAAAAGUCUAUAAUUACUUUGCUGUAUUAAGGAAUCAUUUAUUAAGCUAGGUUUUAUUGAAAAAUAAAAUGAAGGUCUCUUCCAUUAAGAAAUAAUACCACCCUCUUUCACACCGACUGCUAUAUCCAUUCAUCCUCCCAAGGUAUGGAUGCCACAAGGGAGACAAACUCAUCAAACAGACAGGAUAGCAGAAGGGAUGAGCUCUUGCCAUCCACCUUCAGCCUCCAGACCUCCAGUGGAUAAAGAGUUCAGUAUUUCACUGCAAAUGUACCUAUAAGCACCAUUCUCAACAUUAAAACCCUAGGGGUGGUCUCAGAUACACACGUGACAACUUCCCACUGGGUUUCAUGUACCUCCUCCAAGAGAAAGAAACAAUAAAGCUGGCUCUGCUUCUCAAAGCUCAGCUUAAUUUAUUCCAGGAAACCUGAGCAAUAGUGUUAAGCGAUACAAAGAGAAACCCCAGAAUCUCAAUGACUUGGAAAGCCUAUUGAAAAAUACGACAGUGCAAUGAAAAUAAAGUCUUACCCUGGUGCAAACAAGCUUGCCCAACCUGGAAUGAAUUUGGGAUCCCUGGAGAAGAGCAUGAUUGCAAAGAUGCAGAAAAAGAAGAAAAUUGCCUGUUCUGCAAACCUAAAAUGGAAAGAAAUGCAGUUAAAGUGCUGCUGUGCUAAAGGGGUCGAUCCAACCUAGGACAAGUAUGGAGCUGAGGCUGCAGCAGAUUAGCACAGGUACAGACAAUUGUCUUUGAAGAACCACUCCAUUUUCCACUCAACAGCAAUAAUUACAAUGUUGAUAGCAAGACACAAACAUCACUGAAUCUUCACAGCAUCGCUGGUUUACAGGGCUCUCCGGGACGGCUUCUCCUACCUCUUCAGCUGUCCCAGGAGGAUGAGGUUUGGCGCAGUUCCCGUCAGCGUUGCUGUACCUCCGAUGCUGGCUGCAUACGGGAUUGAGAUGAGGAAACCUUUCCAUAUAUUUGUUUUGUAUUCCUCCUCUUUCUUUAAAUCUGAGAGCGUAUCACUGGUAACCUCCUUCUCCUCGGUCAGAUCUUUGCUUUAAAAUAGUCCAAAAGAGAAUCCAGUGAAAACCCUGGUUUAAAUACAGUGCAACCACUUCAGAGCCUUGACAGAAGGAAAUUUCCCAGUUUUUUAGAAAUCCAAGCUAACCCUGAGCAGCCGUGCGGCUGAGGGGCCUGCUCGGGGAGCUGCCACUUGGGACCGGCCGCCCUGCACAGGGCAGAGCACCAUCGGCACCCGUCCGCGGGAGCUGAGGGCACACGUGCCUUGCCCAGCCCCUCAGCAACUGUAACACUCGGCAUGAGGUCCACAGGACCGCUAAAAGGAAAAAAGAGUACAUAUAUAUAUAUAUAGCACUGAGAGGAGAGAAACAUCUGUUCCUGAAAAGAUGCUUCUUUCCCACCAUUGUUAUCAAAACAGGACCAUCACCGGUGUGUAAAUCCUGGUGGCUUCUACAUCACCAGCUUCACACACUUGAUGUUCCUGAGAAAAACCAAGGCAGAAUUCCGCAGCAGGAGACACCUCUGGCUACCAUUUCAGAGUGGCUGGCAAAUCUCUGCAGUAAUUUGAACAUGCAGAGGGAUGCUAGACACACAGAGGAGGAUUUCUAUCAUCAGGCUGCUUAGUGAUUGGAAUGUUUGGUAUAAUCAAAACAUUUCAAUUAUUGAAUUUCAAAUUCCUAAAACUUAGUCUAGCUCAGGGGAUAAUUCUCUCUCAACUCUCUAAUACAAACUUUAUAGUUAACUUACUCCUCAGUACUUGCCAGAAACUGCAUCUCAGUUGGUACAGUGUAAAGUUUAUUCUGCUGUAAAGAUGCUGAAAAAGAAAGAUGAGGACUUUAAAACAGUUCAAAGCAUCUAGAAAAUUCUCCUUGAACCAAACAGAGGAACGGAGGAAACUGCUGUUUACAGACGAGGGGCCGCGCAAUGGAAGUGCAGGCUCGGGCCGCGGGGCCAGGAGCGCCUGGCAGGGGUGAAUAAGCCCGUCUCUUCUUGCCACCGCUCCGGUCCCACUGCAGCACCCAGCUUCUCCAAUACCCAGACACUCGGUCCUUUCACUGCCGCCACUGGUUGGACUCUGGGGUCUUCUAAUGUGACCAGGAGUUCCAGGGUGUCCCUUAUCAAGUCACAGGUCUGGGGUGGGCUUUUUAAGGGAGGUUUAGCCUAAGCUUAUUCUUGGGAAGCAAAAUUGUUUGGUCUGAUGUAUCUGUGAGGCACGUUCCCCAAGGUACAGCAGGAACGCUCCCUGCUACCGAGCUCCAUUCCCAGGGGAUGAGAAUUCUACUCCUUGCAGACAGCUAGCGCAAAGUCACCAUAAAACUGUAACUGACUCUUUAAAGACAAGAUUGGGACACAUUUGGGGAAUAGGCUUCAAACCAGGCCCUCUGAAAUCCACCCCAACAGCAUGGGCUGUUCGCAAGCCCAGCAUCCCCUCUGUAAAUGACAGAGCCUGCAGGUUGUGCAACCAGUCCCCAGCACAAGCUUAGGACCACCCCAGGGAUUCUGUUGCACACCCCAUCUCCAGGGACCAUCCUGCAUAUCUCACAUGGGCUCGGCCUCACUGUCCUUAUCACCAACCACAGGGAACACAGGCAGGACUCAGGAGCACUUGGGGAAAGGGUUCAUUUUGACCAGAACAACCAAUGUUUUCUUUGGCAGUAAACUGGGAGGUGCACACCACUCUACCACACACAUAUAUAGGAGAAAUCCAAAAAUCAAAAGACAGAAAUGCAAUACAAUCACCGUUUUUUUACAAGAUCUCACACUAAGGCUUGUGACAUUUGCAGUCUGGCUCAUGGUUUGACCUCGUGAGGCUGGGAGUAGACAAGUGCCGUUAAACCCAGCUUUCAACCUUCCUCCUCAGAACUGAGUAACUUGUGAGCUUUAUCCACCUUCAGGCCAGGUGGCCCUUCCCCAUCACCACUGGCUCUGCUGCCUUUCCUAGGGCUCUUUGUCUGGUUUUGGGUCCCUGCACCUCCCCAGGUUUUGCAUGUAGACCCCAUUUCCUGCCACUGCCACCCCAGCAUUCCCCAAGUUUUUCUUGCCCCCCCUCCUCAGGCUGAAACACCGUCCUCUUUUACCCAUAUAUGCACUGAAGACCAAAAGCCGUUGAUGGGGAAGGGCCAGCGGUCAAAGUCUCUGGACUUGCUCACAUGUACACCAGAGACACCAAGCUCAUUCCAGCUCAGUGAACCAAGGAAUUUUGCAAAGUCAUGUUUUACACAUUGCUAAUUUACCAAAUUGCAGUUAAUUGGUUUGGAUGCACACAUGCUGAGCUUUCAUCCCCACCAUGCCAUGGCUGAAGGAUGUAAUUAGAAGGACAGACAUUAACCGAUGGCCGACUGUUGAUCCCCCAAAGCAUUUAGCCCAAGGCCUCUUAGCACUGAUGUCCCAUUCAGCCUUAGUGCUGGCUCUGCAAAGAGAUGGAUUUCAUUCCACCUCUUAACAUUUUUCAUUUUUUUCCCUGCUUGGCCCAAGCUCCCAUCCCAUUUGCCAGGACCAUCUGAGUUCCCUUUGCAGAGCCUGCUCGUGGUAACCGUGCAAAGGAAAGCCAGAGUUUCUGCAGAGCAAACUUUUCCUGUGAAACUUGUAAAAAGGAUUUGAAAAUUCUUACAGGUCCAUAAGUCAGAACAGGCCACAGACCACUGAGGUAGGACCUGGCUGUACACACCUCCCACAGAGCCAUAUAAGAAGGAUUCAGUGGCCAUUUCACAGAAAUAACUCAUAUCUCAGAGGCUUGUCCUAGAAAAGUUUGGCUUUAAUCGCCUUUUAAUUGUUUCUAAAAAACUGAAAAGGCCUGAGAAGAACUGUGCUGAGCCAGCGAGGCACAGGCAGCGGCGCUGGGGCCACGUUGUGCCAGCACGGGCCACUGGCCGCCAAACCAGGCAGCAAUGUCCAAAAACGCUUAUUUCCCACCUGCCCCUUUGGAGACAUCACUUCCAGGUCCAUGACCCACCAAGACACCUCAAGCACUGCCUGCAGUUUAUCAUGAAUUUGAAGAUGAUACUGGAAAAAAAAGGGUGGAAAUAUUUUCCUGUAAUUUUUACCUGUAGAUAUUUAAGCUGCUCAGAGAAAUGAAACAUCGCCAACGGUGGGCCAGUGGGCAGAGAACAGGAGAGAUGGCCAGGCUCACUAGCACAGCAGUUUCCCCUUUGCCACGCGCCUAUUACACUGUUUGUGUUUAGGGCUGGAGAUGUCAGACAGAAUUGUAGGAAUCUGUAACCCAGCUCCAAAACAAAAAUUCUGGAAGUCAGAAAAAGCUUUUGACCUAUAACAUGCUGUCCACACAGUGGAACGUAGACACAAGUGAUUGCAACCUUGAGGUUCUCUCAUCAGCAAAAAACUGUGACCAGCUGAUCAGACACAUCCCUUUAAUCCUGGCAUGUGUGUGUAAGCAAAGCCCUUCACAAAGCUGAUUUCAUACACUUGUUGAGAGUUCCUCAGAAAAUCAAAUGUCUUUACAUGCUACAUAUUCUUUAAUACAUUUUUAAAUAAAUUUUAUUUUAGACAGUUAAAUAUUUUUUAGCCUGCUUGGCCCUAUUACAGUGUCAUUAAAGUAUAUCCAAGCAAAUUUGCAAACUGACCUUACCAUAUGCCAUUGUGAAAGUUGGCUUCCACAUGCGGUCCACAAAUGAAUCUGCCUGUCUUUUCUGACACACAGAUUACAAUUCAGAUUAUAAAACGGACUAUACCUUUUUCUCAAACGUGUUCCUUACAUUCAGUCAGGUUUCACCAGGUCUGUGAAAACACUCACAGAAAUAACCCCACUGGAGAUGUGCAGCCAGCCCUGGCUGCCGCUGACACCCCACAGCCAGAAAGCUCGCCUUCGCUGCCCCGCUCCAGGGUGUAACGCUGGAUCCGGCACUCUUGACUGACUUCAGCUUUAGGGCUUCCUUCAAGGAAGUCAGCUUUUCCUCAUCCAUUCAGAAAGAUUACAGAAAAGGACGGGUCUACUUUGGGAGACUCAAGUCCAGAUUAAAAGUCUAUGAGAAAACCUGCA